Colletotrichum zoysiae is the source of this 109-nucleotide non-coding RNA. Lineage: Eukaryota; Fungi; Ascomycota; Sordariomycetes; Glomerellales; Glomerellaceae. The record is from the annotation of a GenBank genome assembly.
GGCCGGUUGGCCCAAUGGCAAGGCGUCUGACUACGAGUCGCUGGUCUCAAGCUGGGGAUCAGAGGUUGUUGCAAUCAGGAGAUUCUGGGUUCGACCCCCAGGCUGGUCA